UAAGCACCGGCUAACUACGUGCCAGCAGCAGCGGUCAUACGUAGGGUGCCAGCAUUACUCGGUGUUACUGGGCGUAAAGAGUUCUGUAGGCUGAUUUGCAAGUCAGAGGUCAAAUGCUUCGGCUCAACUGAAGUUAGGCUUUUGAUACUGCAUUUCUAGAGGCAACUAGGGGGUAGCGGAACGUAUGGUGUAGCAGUGAAAUGCGUUGAUUUCAUACGAACUCAGGGAGCCAGCUACCUGGGUGAUCGACGCUGAGAGACGAAGCGUGGGGGAGCGGAAACGAUGGAUACCCGUGUAGUCCACGCCGUAAACUAUGUUCUGCUAGAUGCUCCAUUUUUGGGGUGUCAAAGUUAACGCGUUAAGCAGACCGCCUGGGAGUAUGAUCGCAAGGUUAAAACUCAAACGGAAUUGGCGGGGACCCGCACAAGCGGUGGAGCAUGCUCUUUAAUUGGCUGAUAACCCAAGAACCUUACCAGGACUUGACAUGUAAGUGGUAGUGAACCGAAAGGGGAACGACCUGCUUUUAGCAGGAGCUUACACAGGUGUUGCAUGGCUGUCGUCAGCUCGUACCGUGAGGCGUACCCUUAAGUGGGUCAACGAGCGCAACCCCUACUGUUAGUUGUAUCACUCUAACGGAACUGCCUCGGCAACGGGGAGGAAGGUGGGGACGACGUCAAGUCGGUAUUGCCCUUACGUCCUGGGCGAGAAGCAUGCUACAAUGGCCGGUACAGCGAGCAGCGAUACCGCGAGGUUGAGCUAAUCUCUUAAAACCGGUCUCAGUUCGGAUUGGAGUCUGCAAUUCGACUCCAUGAAGUUGGAAUCGCUAGUAAUCGCAGGUCAGCUAUACUGCGGUGAAUACGUUCUCGGGUCUUGCACACACUGCCCGUCACGUCAGCAAAGCUGGGGCCACCCGAAGUCUUCAUCCU
Molecule: ribosomal RNA, 926 nt
Filed under: uncultured organism
Description: bacterial SSU rRNA
Rfam family: Bacterial small subunit ribosomal RNA
Source: RNAcentral